AACAAGUUCAUAAUCUGUCAUGUUUUGACGAAUUUAUUCAAGGUAACUAGAAAUCUUCUAAAUUCUUGAAAACAAUCCUGAAGGUUCAUUUGUGAGUCUAUUGCAUCGUGUUAAAUUUUCAGAAAAUAACUCGAAGUGUUCUGGCCUACAAAAUUCGUGGACUGAACUGGUGUCUGAUUCGCGUCUGUGCAGACAGCACAGACACGUGUUGGAAAAAUGGGCAUAACUUCUUGUUCGGGUGUCGGUUUUACACACUGUUUCUUGAUUCUAAAACUAGACUUACAUACCUUUCUGAACAUGUAAGGUUUGUGCCUUAGUUACUUCUAGGAAAACUCAGUUUCGGUUCUGAAGUUAAUGGUUUGUUAACUCUGGAAAUCUGGGCAGGUUUUGGAGCUAUGUUAUUCAUCGAUGUUGUCAUAGUUAAAUGUACUUAUUGGCUAUGGGUUCUCAUGAGUCUUAAACACUGAUCAAUUGGUGAUGUUUUGGUGUUAGAAUUAAUGGAAAAGAUUGAGUAUGUGAUUUUUAAUGAGCAUUCGAUCACAGGCUGUUCUGCAGAAACUACAGAGUUGUGUUUUUAAGUGUGCAUCUUUGGACAGUCGUAACUUUGUCAUUCGAAAUCUAUUUAGGACAAACUCUAUAUCGAUAUUGGUGUACUGAAAGUCUACUUUCUAAUGGUGGUGGUUUCAUGACCCAACUUUGAUCCUAUAAAAUGCUACAGUCUUUUAAAGACAGGCUGGUUGUAGGAUGUCUUGUUAUUUUGGGAGUGUUGUUGUGUUUGAACUUCAUGUGUGUUAUUCUUUGGCCAUUGUUUAGUUCCUUAUGAGCUUAUUAUUCUUGUGUUGAUCGUUCGUUGAACUUAUUACUAAUACGGUUAAACGUGUGGUUAUGUAACGAGCUGAGUAAUCGGGAGGUGCCAAAACCGUAAGUUGGCAUACUUCGGUCGACUCACAGAUAGCAGGGGUUUGUAGGAUGGUCCACUACCAGUUGGCGUUUUGGGGUUGGCUUUGAGGAUGUUGAUUGUGUCGGUGGUAGUGAGUUGUCAUGUAUAUAUAAUCGACUCAUUUUGUAAAGGAUGUUUUGCACUUUAGUUUGCCAAGUAUGUAAAGUUAUGGGUAUAACGUCGACUCUUUUAAUAAUAUUAAUGUUAAGUCUUCCGCUGGUUUAUUCUGAGUUAA
Long non-coding RNA from Rhododendron vialii, 1175 nucleotides. RefSeq lists it as uncharacterized. NCBI's taxonomy places the organism in Eukaryota, Viridiplantae, Streptophyta, Magnoliopsida, Ericales, Ericaceae. The record is from RefSeq and is a predicted model, not a curated record. The transcript is spliced from 2 exons.